GGCAACUUGGCCGAGCGGUCUAAGGCGCUAGAAUCAGGUCAUAAAACCAAUCUAGUCCUCCGGGGCGUGAGUUCGAAUCUCACAGUUGUCA
This is a non-coding RNA of Tephrocybe rancida, 91 nucleotides long. NCBI's taxonomy places the organism in Eukaryota, Fungi, Basidiomycota, Agaricomycetes, Agaricales, Lyophyllaceae. The record is from the annotation of a GenBank genome assembly.